GUGUCAGCAGCCGCGGUAACACGGGGGGAGCAAGCGUUGUUCGGAAUCACUGGGCGUAAAGGGCGUGUAGGCGGUCAGGUAAGUGGGACGUGAAAUGCCUCGGCUCACCCGAGGAGCGGCGUCCCAUACUGCUUGGCUUGAGUAAGGGAGAGGAUGUGGGAAUUCCUGGUGUAGCGGUGAAAUGCGUAGAUAUCAGGAGGAACACCGGUGGCGAAGGCGCACAUCUGGCCCGAUACUGACGCUGAGGCGCGAAAGCUAGGGGAGCAAACGGGAUUAGAUACCCUAGUAGUCC
Molecule: ribosomal RNA, 292 nt
Filed under: uncultured bacterium
Lineage: Bacteria
Description: partial 16S ribosomal RNA
Rfam family: Bacterial small subunit ribosomal RNA
Source: RNAcentral